UACGUAGGUGGCAAGCGUUGUCCGGAAUUAUUGGGCGUAAAGCGCGCGCAGGCGGUUCUUUAAGUCUGAUGUGAAAGCCCACGGCUCAACCGUGGAGGGUCAUUGGAAACUGGAGAACUUGAGUACAGAAGAGGAAAGCGGAAUUCCACGUGUAGCGGUGAAAUGCGUAGAGAUGUGGAGGAACACCAGUGGCGAAGGCAGCUCUCUGGGACGGUACUGACGCUGAGACGCGAAAGCGUGGGGAGCGAACAGG
Molecule: ribosomal RNA, 253 nt
Filed under: uncultured bacterium
Lineage: Bacteria
Description: partial 16S ribosomal RNA
Rfam family: Bacterial small subunit ribosomal RNA
Source: RNAcentral